UAUUUUAAUUAUGACAUAAAAUACUCUCAACUUAAUAAUUUAUAAUUUUCUUAUAAAAUAAUUUUGAAUAGUUAACAAUUUAUUAAAAAAAUAAAAAUUUAAAAGGUUAAUUACAUAUAAUUACAUAAAGUUCUAUUAGGCGAGCCUAGUAUGUUGAGCGUUGGGCAUGUCCGAGGCUUAAGCCCGAUGGCCGAGUAGCAAGUCUUAUAAACUAAACUCACACAUAAUCCCAGGCGUAAGCCCGAUGGCCGAGUCUCAGUUCUGGUUUUUAUAACACGGAUAGCGACUGCUCAAACUAAAACUCAACCAGUCUCUGUUCCCUCAUUUUCACGUCACCUUGAUUCAUUCCCAGUUUAUUACGAUAACUGCAACAACUUGGCCGCCCGAUGGCCCUUACCUUUUCUAUGUUUAAACAUUUUAUUAUGUCCUCAUCUUUAUAUAAUUAAAAUUUAUGAUAAAAAAUCAAAUAACAAACAAAUUGCCUCGACACUUCAAUCAAUUUACGACGAUAUGCCACUCACGGCCACAGAAAUGAUACGGUCACCGCGUUUGCUUUUAAAAGGAAAAUGAUACGAAUCGUAGCUGAUUAAAAGGUCCAUUUCAUUAUUUAGCUCAAUAACCAAACAAGAACUAAACGAAGAACAGAUCAAUUGCAAAGCCACAAUCAAUGAUAUGAAUCGUAGCUGAUUAAAAGUUCCAUUUCAUAUUUAGCUCAAUCACCAAACAAAGACUAAACGAAGAACAAAUCAAUUGCUAAGCCACAAUCUUUCUGUUUGCUAUCUUUGAAUUAUCGAAACAGAAAACGAACAUUGAAAAAAAUUAAAAAGGACUUAAUUCUUCAAUAACAAUCCAUAGAGGGAGUUAAAUUUCAACACAACAAAUUCACUUCAAAUUAUAUAAAUAUAAAAAUAUAUUUUUUCGAAUUUCUCUCGCAAUUUUGAUGUUCGUUGUGCGUCUCUCCCUCUCUCUGAGAGGAGAAUAACAGCAGCAGAGUUAUGGAGUUUGCAAAUUCGGUGUCUCCAUAAUUCAUCAUUUGAAAUUUGACGAUAAAGGUAAAAAGGAUGCGUUUUUACGUGUUAUCUUUCCUUU
This 1089-nucleotide long non-coding RNA is filed under the name Nicotiana benthamiana. Its description in RNAcentral is "long non-coding RNA (NBEN_LNC031008)". Lineage: Eukaryota; Viridiplantae; Streptophyta; Magnoliopsida; Solanales; Solanaceae. The record is from RNAcentral.